UGGGGAAUAUUGGACAAUGGGCGAAAGCCUGAUCCAGCCAUGCCGCGUGUGUGAAGAAGGUCUUCGGAUUGUAAAGCACUUUAAGUUGGGAGGAAGGGCAGUAAGCUAAUACCUUGCUGUUUUGACGUUACCGACAGAAUAAGCACCGGCUAACUCUGUGCCGG
This 164-nucleotide ribosomal RNA is filed under the name uncultured bacterium. RNAcentral's name for it is "partial 16S rRNA". It matches the Rfam family "Bacterial small subunit ribosomal RNA", at positions 355 to 511 of the family's 1533-position model. The record is from RNAcentral.